GGGGAUGAUCGGUUUCGACAUGACUGGUGAAUCGGCGUGAAGCGGGUCGAGGAUGCGGGGUUAUCUCGUAAACGCCCCUCGCAAAACAUAGGUGCUAACGCUAAGCGCACCGACUUCGCCCUCGCUGCUUAAGCGAGUCCGAUAGUCCGUCAGCCCGGGGGAGUUCCCGCUCCGGUAGCUGGCGUCAUUAAGGGAACUUGCUGUGGUGUUGUGUUUCAGGGCACCACGGGACUUGCACUGGAACUGGGCUCGUCGAUCAAGGUGUCUGUCCCCAUGAUCGGAGCCAAGUAGAACAGUAGACAGACUGCACCCGGAGAAGCCGCGGUUUCGUAGUUGUGGACGGGGGUUCGAUUCCCCCCAUCUCCACGA
Molecule: transfer-messenger RNA, 369 nt
Filed under: Microbacteriaceae
Lineage: Bacteria; Bacillati; Actinomycetota; Actinomycetes; Micrococcales
Also listed under: 10 other names
Description: Pseudoclavibacter sp002931055 Standard tmRNA
Rfam family: transfer-messenger RNA
About the family: Bacterial tmRNA, also known as 10Sa RNA or SsrA, is named for its dual tRNA and mRNA-like properties. Its role is to liberate the mRNA from a stalled ribosome. To accomplish this part of the tmRNA is used as a reading frame that ends in a translation stop signal.
Source: RNAcentral